CAACCAAGUAACUACCAUACUACUGAAUCUACUGUAAACUGAAUUCCCAAUUGAUGAAAAAAUUCUGUAUGGAAUGGAGAAAAAAACAGAGUUGUAUAGAGAAGACUCGAGAGAGGAACAUAGAAUCUGUGAAAUUGUAUAAGAGCACUGGUGAGUUAAACAAAUGCAGAGUUCGACGAACUCCAACGAAUGCUCACCUAAGCUUAGAAAGAGAGAAUCAAGCCAAAUAAAUAGGGUGCUCUAUUGUAAAAAAUGUUUUACUACAAUUAAAAUGCAAAGAAUAAUGAAGAAGCAAGAGGGAGAAGAUAAAAUGCAGAAAAAAAUCACUUAAUUAUAUGUAAGACGACACAGUCAAUUAACAAUUUAUCUAACCCAAAAGAAAAUAACAUAAGAAGAGAACCAAAUGCAAGUAGCAGCUACGAGCAGCAACAAUGAGUUACUGUAAGUAAAUCGUGUUUCCAUGUUUUGAUGUAACCACGUUAAUCAAAAUAGUUACUUCAUGAAUUAUAAACUAAACAUGCUGCUAAGUUACACACACCCAAGUUCAAAAUCUAAAUAACUUAAACCUCUAGCUCUAAAAUAUUAAGAUUCAGAGUAUUGCAAGUAGAAAGGAGAUUCAAGAAAUUGAACACACUGCACCAGCAUUCACAAGGACAUGACCAAAGGAUACUAGCAGCAAGUAGAGUAUGAAUGCAUCAGCGAAAAUGAGCGGAUGAUUUAAUGCUAAUUGCAAAGUGGUUAACAAGUCAAACCAAGCAAGCAGCGAAUUAGGAAGAAGGAACCAUCUUCAGACAAGCAAAUACCAAAAUCCACAACCAAGUCAUUACAAUAAUAGAUGUCGUCAUAAAUUUCUCAGAACCUCAUAUGAAUCUGGCAAAAUCAAAGCGAACGCUAAUAGAUAACGGAAUCAGACAGAGUAAGCCUC
Molecule: long non-coding RNA, 925 nt
Filed under: Brassica napus (rape)
Lineage: Eukaryota; Viridiplantae; Streptophyta; Magnoliopsida; Brassicales; Brassicaceae
Description: long non-coding RNA (BNAP_LNC023726)
Source: RNAcentral